RNAcentral lists this long non-coding RNA (1776 nucleotides) under Nicotiana benthamiana. Its description in RNAcentral is "long non-coding RNA (NBEN_LNC018931)". The record is from RNAcentral. Lineage: Eukaryota; Viridiplantae; Streptophyta; Magnoliopsida; Solanales; Solanaceae.
GAAAUCAUAUAGAAAGAGAAAAGUAGUAGUAUAAGUGAAGGAAAAAAAGCAGAGAGGACUAAAAAGGAGACCGGAUGUUGACAAAUUUCAUGUCACUGUUCUUAUUAGAACCAAACCAAAGCAAAGCAGCUUCUGUUUGUUUGUGUCAAGAUUUUCUUAUCUGGGAUCUCUCUCUCUCUCUUUCUUUAGUACACAAACCUUUCAAGUCUUAUACAAUUUCUGUUUCUUUCUCUCUCUACUUCUUGUUCUUCUCUCUCUAAAAAAUAGAGCUUUCUUUUUGCUCUUUUUCUGAGAAUUAGAACCAAGAAAGAGAAAAAAGAAUUUCUUGUGUGGUGGCCCCAUCAGAUGUAAAUCUCCAAUCUUUUUUUUUCAGUUUCAUUAGGAUCUGAAGCUUCUUUAAUUCAAUGGUCUACUUGUUUCAUAAUUAUUAUUAAAUAUUUAUUUCUCAUUGUUUUGAGUUAAUAAUUCCACUUUUUUUGGGGUCACUCAAUUGGGGUCACUCAAUUUAUCAUGAUUCUUGAGUUGGUGAAUUACUUCAAUAUAUGUUCAUUGUUCAAUCCAUGAAAAGGGUAUUGAGAAGAGUUGGUUUCAAGAUGUGGGGUUGAGGUAAAUUCUUAUUCUUCUUCUUCUUAUUAUUAUAUAUUUAUUUGCUUUUAGAUUUAUUCUUAUUUGACUUUUAAGACCCCCCAAGAACAGAAUAUUUCUAUUUUUGCUUUGUUUAGUUUAAUUAAUGGUUUUGGAUUCUAAAAUUAUGAGCUUUUACAUUUUUCUUUGUUACUUGCAGAUUUGAUUAAGUUCUUGGAUUUUACUGGUGAUCUUAUCUGUUUUGGAUCUUUUCUAGCUUUUAUGUUUAUAAUUUUUACCUCAGAUUUUACUGGUGAUCGUAUCUGUUUUGGAUCUUUUCUAGCUUUUAUGUUUAUAAUUUUUACCUCAUUUACUCUUCUAAUUGAAAAAGAUUGGAACUUUAAUUGCUUAUGAUAUGGUUUCUAUUGGAAUGAUAUUCUUAAAUUCAUUUAUUUGUCUGAAUUAGGUAAGCAAACUAUUACUUUUUGGAAGAAGAAAAGUGGGGUUAAGAGUUUAAAUUGCAUGAGUAAAAGAUUGAGACUUUAUUAGAAAAAGGUCCUAUAUUAGCCUUUUUUUGGCUUAAUUUGAUUCCUACUGCACUAGCUUUAAUUAAAUUUCCAAUGUGACAACUAGAAAGUUCAUCGUAAAAGUGGAUUACAUUAAAAUUCAAUUUAUCUUCUAUUACAAGAUUGCUUGUCUUCAUUAGUAGAUUACGGUAAUUGGAGAGUUUUGGAUUUCAGUGCUGCUUAGAGACAAAUUUCCAGAUUAAUUGUAAUCUUAGUCGCGGUCCGUUAUCUUGUUUGUUUCCUUUGCUAUCCUUGGACCCUACAUUGUGAUUCCUUGUUUCUUGUGUGCUAUUAGUUUUUAAGUGUUAAAAUGCCUGGCUGAUCAGUGAUUACUAGCUAAUCCGGCUUCACGCAGGCGAGUUGCAGCCUGCAAUCCGAACUGAGGAUGUGUUUUCAGUGGGUUCUGUUGGGAAAUGAUAAAUGGCCUACUUAACCCAGUGGUUAGAGUACUGCUUUCAUGGGGUGCGUGUGAACAUAAAUUUGACGAAGGAGUGAUUGAAAAAGUAUAUGCAAGUCGUAUAUCUUGGUUUCUGAAAGAGUGUGAAAACUUCUCGAGUUUUUCCACGUGUUGCUGAUGAGAAUUGUGCAGAGUGUGUGUUUUACUUGGGUUGCUCUGGUGCAAUUUGUCUUUUUUGAUAUGGUCAGG